UGGGCCGCCUCCGCCCCGCCCGCGUCAGGCCUCGCGGGCUUCAGUCACAACACUGCCGGUCACCUGGGCGCGCCCGGCCCGGCGCCGGCUGGCGGCGCUAAGGGGGUCGCUGGAAGCGGCUCGGCGGCGUCCGUGGGAGCCAUUCCUUCCGAGGGCCACCGGCGAGGGCUUGAGCGCUGGCUCCCCCUGCUUCCUGAGCCGCGGCGGGAGCGGCCAGACGAGGAGGCACCUCGCUGAGGCCACUGUCCGGGCCAGCGCCGGGGGACAACGCGACGGGAGAUGUGCCUGUCCUUAGCGGCCCAGGCAGCAGCAUGCACCCCGAUGCCACCGACAGCAACGGCGCCGGCGGCCGCCCUGCCACGGACUCUGCGGGCGAGCAGCGGGGUGCCCGGGGCCCGGGCGGCGGGAGCUGGCAGAUGCCGGUGGCUGUGGCCGCACUCGCCGCGGUGGCCCUCUCCUUCCUGGGGCCCGGCUGCUGGGCAGUGGCGGGGGGAACGGGGCCGGGCACCGUCCUGCUGCGGCUCAGCUUGUACCUGAGCUGCGCCGCGGCCGCCUUCCUGCUGGGGACCCUACUCGCCCUCGUCUACCGGAGCCCGCGCGCCCCGCCGCCCGACUUCUCUGCUGCCUGGAGCCGAAGGGCCGCCCGCCGCCCUCUGGGGAGUCCUGUGUGUGGAAACUCACAUGAGACAGUUCAGUCUAGAAGGGUAGUGAUUUCUCAUAAUAUGGACAAAGCUCUGAAAGAAGUGUUUGACUACAGUUACAGAGAUUACAUUCUUUCCUGGUAUGGAAACCUCAGCAGAGAUAACGGACAGCUUUACUACCUGCUCUUGGAAGACUUUUGGGAAAUUGCCAAGCAGCUACACCACAGAAUGAGUCACGUGGAUGUGGUUAAAGUCGUCUGCAAUGAGGUUGUAAGGGCUUUACUCACUCAUUUCUGUGACCUGAAAGCUGCUAAUGCCAGCCAUGAAGAACAGCCAAGGCCUUUUGUGUUGCAUGCAUGCUUGAGGAACUCAGAGGAUGAACUAAGAUUCCUACAAAUAUGUUCUCAAGUUCUGGUGCUUUGUCUCCUCCCUUCAAAGGAUGUGCAGUCUCUCAGCCUACGUAUUAUGCUUGCAGAAAUUCUCACAACAAAAGUCUUGAAGACAGUAGUAGAGUUGCUGAGUAAUCCAGAUUACAUUAACCAAAUGCUGCUUUCCCAGUUGGAGUACAGAGAACAGAUGAAUGAGCAACACAAGAGAGCCUACACCUAUGCCCCUUCUUAUGAAGAGUUCAUCAAACUUAUCAGUGGCAGUUCUGAUGUGGAGUUCUUGAAGCAACUGAGGUAUCAGAUUGUAGUGGAAAUAAUCCAAGCGACUACAAUUAGCAGCUUUCCCCAGUUGAAGAGGCACAAGGGUAAGGAAUCUGCUGCAAUGAAAGCUGACCUCCUGAGGGCCAGGAAUAUGAAAAGGUACAUUAACCAGCUGACUGUGGCAAAGAAGCAGUGUGAGAAGAGAAUCAGAAUCCUGGGAGGUCCUGCCUAUGACCAGCAGGAGGAUGGGGCCUUGGAUGAGAGGGAAGGGCCUCAAAGCCAGAAGAUUCUUCAGUUUGAAGAUAUCUUGGCCAACACUUUGUUUCGAGAGCACUUUAGAAUAUACAUGGAAAGGAUGGACAAGAAAGUGCUGAUUAGUUUUUGGGAAUCUGUGGAACAUUUAAAGAAUGCUAACAAGAAUGAAAUUCCACAAUUAGUUGGUGAAAUUUAUCAAAUUUUCUUUGUGGAAAGCAAAGAAAUAUCUGUGGAAAAAUCACUUUACAAAGAAAUCCAGCAUUGUCUUGUAGGAAAUAAAGACAUUAAGGUGUUCUGCAAAAUCCAGGAAGAUGUAUAUGAGACCCUAAAGGACAGGUAUUACCCUUCCUUUAUUGUCAGCGACCUGUAUGAAAAAUUGAUGAUAAAAGAGGAAGAUAAACGAGACUCACAGUUGAUUUCUAACAAGGAUGAAAUGGGCCCAGGAGGUGAGGCUGAUGGGGAAGCUGGAGUUGAAGGUACCAGUGAGAUUAAUGAACAAGCCAGUUUUGCUGUGAACAAAUUACGAGAACUAAAUGAGAAACUUGAAUACAAAAGGCAAGCUCUAAAUUCUAUUCAAAAUGCACCAAAACCUGACAAGAAGAUUGUUUCCAAGUUGAAGGAUGAAAUACUUCUAAUAGAGAAAGAACGUGCAGACCUUCAGCUGCACAUGGCAAGAACAGACUGGUGGUGUGAGAACCUGGGCAUGUGGAAAGCCUCCAUUACCAGUGGAGAGGUUACGGAAGAGAAUGGUGAGCAAAUGCCUUGUUACUUCGUCAUGGUCAGCCUACAAGAAGUUGGAGGAAUUGAAACUAAGAACUGGACUGUCCCAAGAAGGCUCAGUGAGUUUCAGAAUUUACACCGAAAACUUAGUGAGUGUGUCCCUUCUUUAAAAAAAGUCCAGCUGCCUUCUCUUAGCAAGCUGCCUUUCAAAUCUAUAGAUCACAAGUUUAUGGAAAAGUCAAAGAAUCAAUUAAAUAAGUUUUUACAGAAUCUACUUUCAGAUGAAAGACUCUGUCAGAGUGAAGCACUUUAUGCCUUUUUGAGCCCUUCUCCUGACUACCUCAAGGUUAUUGAUGUGCAGGGGAAAAAAAACACUUUUUCAUUGUCCUCAUUUUUGGAAAAACUUCCUCGUGACUUCUUCUCCCAUCAGGAGGAAGAGCCAGAAGAGGACAGUGACCUGUCAGAUUAUGGUGAUGAUGUGGAUGGGAGGAAAGAUGCCUUGGCUGAACCUUGUUUCAUGUUGAUUGGGGAGAUUUUUGAACUUCGAGGAAUGUUUAAGUGGGUGAGAAGAACAUUAAUUGCUCUUGUUCAGGUCACUUUUGGAAGAACCAUCAACAAACAAAUCCGGGACACAGUGAGUUGGAUUUUCAGUGAGCAAAUGCUAGUUUACUACAUUAAUGUUUUCCGGGAUGCUUUUUGGCCAAAUGGGAAAUUGGCACCACCAACCAGAAUGAGAAGCAAAGCUCAAAGUCAAGAAACAAAGCAGAGAGCGCAGCAAAAGCUACUUGAAAACAUUCCAGGUGAGACCUGGGUUCUUAAAGAGAUAAAAAGGAUACACUUCAGAGCCUUCUUGGACAGCAAAAUGCCCGCCAUGGUAUAAUAAAAAUAUUCAAGGCACUACAAGAAACAAGAGCCAAUAAGCACCUGUUAUAUGUGCUGAUGGAACUGCUGCUAAUUGAGCUGUGUCCUGAGCUGAGAACUCAUUUAGAUCAACUUAAAGCUGGUCAAGUUUGAGCUGCACAAAUAAACCACCAGAGAAAUGUCUGUGUCAUAAUAGACAUGAAACAUUUUCCUCUUUUUCACAGAGGGCUUGACUGAGGACCAUACUGAUUUUCAUUUUAGUUACAUCCCUCUAGUUUUAUGUAAAAUAAGCAGAAUUGAGGGGGAGGGUGACUUGAUGCUAUAGUAGGCAAUAGGGAAAAGAACUUUUGUUUAUUGAUUUUUAUUUAAAUAAUAUAAAUACUUUAAAGUUCAAUAUACUUAUUGAAAUACAAAUAUUAAUAUGUGGUAAGAACCUAGGAAAUAUUUUAAAUAUUUAUGAAAGCAGUUUUGUUGUAAAAUGAAGAACUAUGAAUCUUGUACAGUAAUUUCCUCCCUGAGGACUCUGAACAUUCCUAUAUUAUUUCAUGUGUAUUGAAGAACAUUGUUGUGCAAUGCUUUGUGUAAAGUUAUUGUGAAAAUUUUAUUGUCUUUAUUUUUACCAAAGAUUUCCCAUAGUUUGAAGCAUUUGAAGCAAUAAAAUAUAAAAAUGAA
Non-coding RNA from Heterocephalus glaber (naked mole-rat), 3796 nucleotides. The record is from RefSeq and is a predicted model, not a curated record. Lineage: Eukaryota; Metazoa; Chordata; Mammalia; Rodentia; Bathyergidae.